UACAGAGGUGGCAAGCGUUGUUCGGAAUUACUGGGCGUAAAGGGCGCGUAGGCGGCCUUCUAAGUCAGACGUGAAAUCCCCGGGCUCAACCUGGGAACUGCGUUUGUGACUGUAUGACUAGAGUACGGUAGAGAGGGGUGGAAUUCCUGGUGUAGCAGUGAAAUGCGUAGAUAUCAGGAGGAACAUCGAUGGCGAAGGCAGCCCCUUGGACCUGUACUGACGCUCAUGCACGAAAGCGUGGGGAGCAAACAGG
RNAcentral lists this ribosomal RNA (253 nucleotides) under uncultured bacterium. RNAcentral describes it as "partial 16S ribosomal RNA". It matches the Rfam family "Bacterial small subunit ribosomal RNA", at positions 524 to 776 of the family's 1533-position model. The record is from RNAcentral.